AACGAACGCUGGCGGCAUGCCUAACACAUGCAAGUCGAACGAGACCUUCGGGUCUAGUGGCGCACGGGUGCGUAACGCGUGGGAACCUGCCUUUAGGUUCGGAAUAACUCAGAGAAAUUUGAGCUAAUACCGGAUGAUGUCUUCGGACCAAAGAUUUAUCGCCUUUAGAUGGGCCCGCGUUGGAUUAGCUAGUUGGUGGGGUAAAGGCCUACCAAGGCGACGAUCCAUAGCUGGUCUGAGAGGAUGAGCAGCCACACUGGGACUGAGACACGGCCCAGACUCCUACGGGAGGCAGCAGUGGGGAAUAUUGGACAAUGGGCGAAAGCCUGAACCAGCAAUGCCGCGUGAGUGAUGAAGGCCUUAGGGUUGUAAAGCUCUUUUACCCGAGAUGAUAAUGACAGUAUCGGGAGAAUAAGCUCCGGCUAACUCCGUG
This 433-nucleotide ribosomal RNA is filed under the name uncultured bacterium. Its description in RNAcentral is "partial 16S ribosomal RNA". It matches the Rfam family "Bacterial small subunit ribosomal RNA", at positions 29 to 507 of the family's 1533-position model. The record is from RNAcentral.